GCGGGCGAAGUGUUGUGGUGGCACUGAAGCCUUCCAAGCUUCAAGGGCGGGUUCGAUUCCCGUCGCCCGCU
RNAcentral lists this transfer RNA (71 nucleotides) under Acidobacteriota bacterium. RNAcentral describes it as "tRNA-Gly". It matches the Rfam family "tRNA". Rfam says of the family: Transfer RNA (tRNA) molecules are approximately 80 nucleotides in length. Their secondary structure includes four short double-helical elements and three loops (D, anti-codon, and T loops). Further hydrogen bonds mediate the characteristic L-shaped molecular structure. tRNAs have two regions of fundamental functional importance: the anti-codon, which is responsible for specific mRNA codon recognition, and the 3' end, to which the tRNAs corresponding amino acid is attached (by aminoacyl-tRNA synthetases). tRNAs cope with the degeneracy of the genetic code in two manners: having more than one tRNA (with a specific anti-codon) for a particular amino acid; and 'wobble' base-pairing, i.e. permitting non-standard base-pairing at the 3rd anti-codon position. Lineage: Bacteria; Pseudomonadati; Acidobacteriota. The record is from RNAcentral.